AUAUAUAUAUAUAUAUAUAUAUAUAUAUAUAGAACAGCACCCUGCGCAAGGAUGACACGCAAAAUCGUGAAGCGUUCCACAUUUUU
This 86-nucleotide small nuclear RNA is filed under the name Ixodes scapularis (black-legged tick). The record is from RNAcentral. Lineage: Eukaryota; Metazoa; Arthropoda; Arachnida; Ixodida; Ixodidae.